UGCAAGUCGACGGCAGCACGGGAGCAAUCCUGGUGGCGAGUGGCGAACGGGUGAGUAAUAUAUCGGAACGUGCCCAGUCGUGGGGGAUAACGUAGAGAAAUUUACGCUAAUACCGCAUACGAUCUAAGGAUGAAAGCGGGGGACCGUAAGGCCUCGCGCGAUUGGAGCGGCUGAUACCAGAUUAGGUUGUUGGUGAGGUAAAAGCUCACCAAGCCGACGAUCUGUAGCUGGUUUGAGAGAACGACCAGCCACACUGGGACUGAGACACGGCCCAGACUCCUACGGGAGGCAGCAGUGGGGAAUUUUGGACAAUGGGCGAAAGCCUGAUCCAGCAAUGCCGCGUGCAGGAAGAAGGCCUUCGGGUUGUAAACUGCUUUUGUACGGAACGAAAAGGUCUGCCCUAAUACGGCGGGCCCAUGACGGUACCGUAAGAAUAAGCACCGGCUAACUACGUGCCAGCAGCCGCGGUAAUACGUAGGGUGCGAGCGUUAAUCGGAAUUACUGGGCGUAAAGCGUGCGCAGGCGGUGAUGUAAGACAGUUGUGAAAUCCCCGGGCUCAACCUGGGAAUUGCAUCUGUGACUGCAUCGCUAGAGUACGGUAGAGGGGGAUGGAAUUCCGCGUGUAGCAGUGAAAUGCGUAGAUAUGCGGAGGAACACCGAUGGCGAAGGCAAUCCCCUGGACCUGUACUGACGCUCAUGCACGAAAGCG
This 709-nucleotide ribosomal RNA is filed under the name uncultured bacterium. RNAcentral describes it as "bacterial SSU rRNA". It matches the Rfam family "Bacterial small subunit ribosomal RNA", at positions 56 to 761 of the family's 1533-position model. The record is from RNAcentral.